RNAcentral lists this ribosomal RNA (253 nucleotides) under uncultured bacterium. Its description in RNAcentral is "partial 16S ribosomal RNA". It matches the Rfam family "Bacterial small subunit ribosomal RNA", at positions 524 to 776 of the family's 1533-position model. The record is from RNAcentral.
GACAGAGGCCUCGAGCGUUAGGCGGAAUCACUGGGCUUAAAGCGUGUGUAGGCGGGCCCGUAAGUGUCUUGUGAAAUCCCACGGCUCAACCGUGGAACUGCUGGGCAUACUGCGGGUCUUGGGCCAACUAGGGGCAGCCGGAACAAGCGGUGGAGCGGUGAAGUGCGUAGAUAUCGCUUGGAACGCCGAAGGUGAAAACAGGCUGCUGGGGUUGCGCCGACGCUGAGACACGAAAGCCAGGGGAGCAAACGGG